CUACGGGAUGCAGCAGUGAGGAAUAUUGCACAAUGGGGGAAACCCUGAUGCAGCAACGCCGCGUGGAGGAUAACGCAUUUCGGUGUGUAAACUCCUUUUAUCAGAGAAGAAAAUGACGGUAUCUGAUGAAUAAGCUCCGGCUAACUCCGUGCCAGCAGCCGCGGUAAUACGGAGGGAGCAAGCGUUAUUCGGAAUCACUGGGCGUAAAGGACGCGUAGGCGGGUUUUUAAGUCAGGUGUGAAAUCCUAUGGCUCAACCAUAGAACUGCACUUGAAACUGGGGACCUAGAGUAUGGAAGGGGCAGGUGGAAUUAGUGGUGCAGGGGUAAUAUCCGUAGAUAUCACUAGGAAUACCGAAAGCGAAGGCGACCUGCUGGGACAUUACUGACGCUGAGGCGUGAAAGCGUGGGGAGCAAACAGGAUUAGAUACCCGAGUAGUC
Molecule: ribosomal RNA, 439 nt
Filed under: uncultured bacterium
Lineage: Bacteria
Description: partial 16S ribosomal RNA
Rfam family: Bacterial small subunit ribosomal RNA
Source: RNAcentral